This 253-nucleotide ribosomal RNA is filed under the name uncultured bacterium. Its description in RNAcentral is "partial 16S ribosomal RNA". It matches the Rfam family "Bacterial small subunit ribosomal RNA", at positions 524 to 776 of the family's 1533-position model. The record is from RNAcentral.
UACGUAGGGGGCGAGCGUUGUCCGGAUUUAUUGGGCGUAAAGAGCGUGUAGGCGGCCAGGUAGGUCUGCUGUGAAAACUCGAGGCUCAACCUCGAGACGUCGGCGGAAACCAUCUGGCUAGAGUCCGGAAGAGGAGAGUGGAAUUCCUGGUGUAGCGGUGAAAUGACGCAGAUAUCAGGAGGAACACCGGUGGCGAAGGCGGUUCUCUGGCAUGAUCUGACGCUGGAGGAGCGAAAGUGUGGGAGCGAACAGG